GAAAAGAAAGAAAUAAAAUAAAAUGACAAACCAAAGUCAAUUUUAUAUCACAAAAGAAGAAGAAAAAAAAAAAUAAUAAAAGCCCACCUGGUUGAAUUCUCAGGAACUCAUCAUCGUCAUCGUCAUCAUCAUCAACACAAUUCACCACUCUUCUUCAACUAACACAUAUCGGGUAUUGAAAGUCAACAAAAAAAAAAAUGAUGACAUGAUAUUCCCAAAGAGAAGCAUCGCCAAUCCCAACACUGUCAUUCUACCAGGAACCCAUCAGAAACCAUUUCUUCGUCCACGCCCAAAAAGUUGACUGGUGCACCCAGGGUUUGGAAAGUUUAUAGUCUCAAUGAAAAACCUAUUCAAAACCAUUUGCAAGAAUUAAUGUUUGCAGAAAACGACGACAAAAAGAAAAAAAAAAACACUAAAAAUUAUUAUGAAUUUUCUUCAUCUCCCCAGAAAAGAGGACGAAUCAUUUUAUACAGCAGCAAGUUGUAUGAUAUGUCGCUCAGCAAGCAGCAUUUAACCGCACACUCUAGAACUUCAAGUCAAGUUUUCCAUUUGCUGCUAUACUACCAGCCAUUGUUUCCUCAGUCGUACAGUCCAACCAACUGUCCAGGAGUAGUAUCUUUCGCGUUCCACAAAUGGAAAACUAUACAUCCCGUCUGACGAUUUUCUCUUAGAAAUGCCAGCCAUUUCUAGACUCAUACUCUUCAAGAAGGAAUUAUAUAUACAAACUAUAUGGCAUCGAAUGAAACGAAAUCAAAUGAAAGGAAAGGAAAACUUUUUCCCUAACAAAACGUCCCAGAUAUUUCAUAAUGUCAACGUGGCAGAGUAGUGUGAUGGUUGGUGGUGCUGGUUCUAUUUGCAAUUUCUAGAAGAAGAAUAACCACGACCGGAACAAAAACCGACAACGAGUGAUUUCCAAAGAGUUCCUCUGCUGCCGAGUUGAAAACCAGGCACACUGGUUGUUCCAGUAACAGCGGCAGUUCCAUCUUCUUCGUCGUCGGUCGUCGUCUUCCAUUUUUGAAAACACUGGCUGGCUGCACCAAAAGAGAGCGAAUGAAAUACUAGCUGUCGGAAAUAAAUCAUCACAGAAAUUACCAAACAGACUUUCAGCCACCAAAAUAUGGGUGACGGUGAAUUGGUGGUUGGUUGGGUUGAAUGUUUCCAAGCCAAUACCCAGGACUGAGGAGGUUCCCAAACCUAGACCAUCAUGUCGCACAGGAACAAACCAUCCACAGUAAUCAAGAGUAUAAAUUCCUUUUGCCCCAAAAAAUGGUGGAACAUAUUUUUCUUUGUCAUUUUCGAAAAUUCAUUUUUAAACUGUGUGUGUGGCUUCAACUUCAGGUUGGGAAAAUAAAUCGCUGUUGAUGACCUCAAGGGAGAUGAACGGCUGUUUUAGCCACUUUUUUUUGGCAACAAAUUUUCU
Molecule: long non-coding RNA, 1420 nt
Organism: Episyrphus balteatus (marmalade hoverfly)
Lineage: Eukaryota; Metazoa; Arthropoda; Insecta; Diptera; Syrphidae
Exons: 2
Source: RefSeq, a predicted model, not a curated record